CCCUGGCCUGGGGAAAGAAGGGGAGAGGGAAUUCUUCAGUGUUGAGACAAUGCACUGCAGAUUCCAGACACAGAGCCUUCAGGUAGUGAUACAGUUACAGAAACUGCAAUUUAUACUGCCUCAUCCUCCCGAAGGCCAAUGAGAAGAAACUCCUUUGGUAAUAUAAUGGGGAAGAAGCUGAGUGAUAUCUGAGAAACAAAUAAAUUCUGAAGCAGCUCUGGACCUUUAACCAGUUCCGAGGUGGAUGGGAAAGGCAGCUGGAUGGAUACCCAUGGGGAAGAACUGAAAGUUAGGAUCUCUGUGGUUGGUAAAUGUGUAGUAGAGAAAAUGAUCCAUAGAAACACAGACAGUAGGAGACUGGAAAAAAGCAAAGGCUCCCCUGGGCCCAACUGUAGGCAAUGCUGCCCCCAUCCUUUCUAGGGGGCCCUCUGACUGUUCUGCCCUGGAGCCCACAAUUGCCGUUAGCAGGCCUCAUAUGUUGUGUGAGGCACAAGGAUACACUGGAUGCUGAACAGACACGGCUAACGGAAAAUCUCUGAUCAAGGGCUCAAGAGGUGCAUGCGCACUGGAAGUGGAGCACCCAUAGGGACAGUACUCGAAGAAGAACCCACUUCACAAGGAAAAUGGGAGACAUUUUAAAGACAAUCUGCACUUGCAGAUAAACAAAGAGAGCUGCCCGGCUGAAGGAAGUUGGUGCUCAAACGCUGCCUCCUGGAUCCUGGCGCUGGUUGUACUCCCCUUCUGUGUGCUGGGAGCCAUUCUAUUUUCUGUACAAACAGGACAUCAAGUAGAAAACACCAGACUUCACCUCUCAGCUGCAGUGGGAUUCCUUUAUAAAUUCUCCUAUGGAACUGUAAAAAGAAAAAAAAUUAUAUAAAUGCAGAACAAGCCAGAAAACCUUGAGCUGAG
Long non-coding RNA from Mauremys reevesii (Reeves's turtle), 909 nucleotides. RefSeq lists it as uncharacterized. Lineage: Eukaryota; Metazoa; Chordata; Testudines; Geoemydidae. The record is from RefSeq and is a predicted model, not a curated record. The transcript is spliced from 4 exons.